This 259-nucleotide ribosomal RNA is filed under the name uncultured prokaryote. RNAcentral describes it as "partial 16S ribosomal RNA". It matches the Rfam family "Bacterial small subunit ribosomal RNA", at positions 524 to 782 of the family's 1533-position model. The record is from RNAcentral.
UACGUAGGGGGCGAGCGUUGUCCGGAAUGAUUGGGCGUAAAGGGCGCGUAGGCGGCUGUGCAAGUCAGUAGUGGAAGCCCAGCUUUUAAGGUUGGAAGUGCUAUUGAAACUGUGCAGCUUGAGUGCAGGAGAGGUUAUCGGAAUUCCCGGUGUAGCGGUGAAAUGCAUAGAGAUCGGGAGGAACACCAGUGGCGAAGGCGGGUGACUGGACUGCAACUGACGCUGAGGCGCGAAAGUGUGGGGAGCAAACAGGAUUAGA